Molecule: long non-coding RNA, 680 nt
Organism: Syzygium oleosum
Lineage: Eukaryota; Viridiplantae; Streptophyta; Magnoliopsida; Myrtales; Myrtaceae
Exons: 2
Source: RefSeq, a predicted model, not a curated record
GUUUACCGUGCAAUUUCGAGCAGUUAUCGAUUGUGUGAUGGGGCCGCCUGCAAUAUUCACAAAAUAAUUUUUUGGCCUUUAAAUUCUGCCUAUAAUUCUUUUGUGCACCCGAAAAAAAUUGGCCAUUGGAUGCCUUUGGUUGGGCUUGCUGCCCACUGUCUGAUUCCAUUAAGGAAUCAGAACUCUUCCAGCCUUCAGACCGUGACUCACGAUUUGCACCGUCCAGCCCACUCCCUUUUAGUUGCUGUGGAUCAUCACCUGUAAACCCUAGCUUCCCAUUUCGCCGUUCUUUCUCUCGGUCUAGGGUUCUGGAACCCGACUCGCGAUGCUCGCCGCGGGUUGCGAGGGCGAUGCUUUCCGUUCCCCUUGCAUGCUCCGCCGAGGCGAGUCGUUGGCUCUCUUCCUGUACCGCCAGUUGAAAGAUGCGUCCGAGCGGUGGCACCGGGUCCAUGGCGAGGAUCUGCGAUCUAAAGAGGGCCAACAGCUUGUUGAAGCAAGCGGUUAUGCUCAUAUUCCCUUGCUUUAGCUCUGAAAGCUCCUGGGUAAGAGAAAAAAUCCUCGCACGGUCCAAUUUCCCGUACAUUUCUCGUAUAUUAUCCCACAUCUUCUUUGCAUCUUCUGGGGGGGAAGUCCGACGGCUAUUUCUGGGCUAAUACAGUUCCCUAUCCACGUUCUAACGA